This 253-nucleotide ribosomal RNA is filed under the name uncultured bacterium. Its description in RNAcentral is "partial 16S ribosomal RNA". It matches the Rfam family "Bacterial small subunit ribosomal RNA", at positions 524 to 776 of the family's 1533-position model. The record is from RNAcentral.
UACGUAGGGUGCAAGCGUUAAUCGGAAUUACUGGGCGUAAAGCGUGCGCAGGCGGUUUGCUAAGACCGAUGUGAAAUCCCCGGGCUUAACCUGGGGACUGCAUUGGUGACUGGCAAGCUAGAGUGUGGCAGAGGGGGGUAGAAUUCCACGUGUAGCAGUGAAAUGCGUAGAGAUGUGGAGGAAUACCGAUGGCGAAGGCAGCCCCCUGGGCCAACACUGACGCUCAUGCACGGAAGCGUGGGGAGCAAACAGG